Molecule: ribosomal RNA, 1497 nt
Filed under: Triticum aestivum (bread wheat)
Lineage: Eukaryota; Viridiplantae; Streptophyta; Magnoliopsida; Poales; Poaceae
Description: partial small subunit ribosomal RNA
Source: RNAcentral
AUGUGGGAGCGCGGCAGGCCACCCCGUAAGCAGCGACCGGCGCCUCUGAUCUUGCCGGCGUCGGCGCUGGUGUCGCCCCCGCCCCCUCGGUUCGUCUUCCCCAGAUCCCUCUUCGCACUCGCCUCCCGCGCCAUGCCGUCGCGCCGCCCCUCCCCUGUCAUCCUCCUCCUCCUCGCGCUCGCGCUCGCGCUACUCUUCCUGCUCCUGUCCCCCUCUGGCCCCUCCGCCUCCCGCCUUUCCCACUCCUUCAUCUCCACCUCUCCUUCCUCUUCCGCCUCCUCCCCUCCCUCCCCCGUCAAGAUCUACCUGUACGACCUGCCGUCGAAGUUCACCUACGGCGUCGUCCGCAGCUAUAUGUCCGCGCGGGGCCCCUCGGGUUCGUCGGAUGCGGCCGCGGUGCUGGCAGACGAGGAGCUGCGCUAUCCGGGGCACCAGCACUCGGCGGAGUGGUGGCUCUUCAAGGACCUCCGUCGCCGCGGACCACGUGAUCGCCCCGUGGCUCGCGUGGAUGACCCGGCCGAGGCCGACCUCUUCUACGUGCCCUUCUUCUCGUCCCUCAGCCUCGUCGUCAACCCCAUCCGGCCCCCAGCCGCCGCCAAUGCCUCGGAGGCGGCGGCCACGGCGGGACCUUCGUAUAGCGACGAGGCCAUGCAGGACGAGCUGGUGGAGUGGCUGGAGCGGCAGUCGUACUGGCGGCGGCACCGGGGAAGGGACCACGUGUUCAUCUGCCAGGAUCCCAACGCCCUCUACCGGGUUGUGGAUCGGAUCAGCAAUGCCGUGCUCCUAGUCUCUGACUUCGGCCGCUUGCGUGGUGAUCAGGUCUCUCUCGUCAAGGAUGUCAUCCUGCCUUACUCCCACCGCAUCAACCCCUUCAAGGGCGAUGUCAAUGUUGACAGCAGGCCUGCAUUGCUGUUUUUCAUGGGCAACAGAUACCGAAAGGAGGGCGGGAAGGUCCGUGAUACACUUUUUCAAGUUCUUGAAAAUGAGGGAGAUGUAAUCAUAAAACAUGGAGCCCAAUCAAGGGUGAGCCGGCGUAUGGCCACACAAGGAAUGCACUCAUCCAAAUUUUGCCUGCAUCCUGCUGGAGAUACUCCCUCGGCCUGCAGAUUGUUUGAUGCACUUGUCAGUUUAUGUGUUCCUGUUAUAGUUAGUGAUCACAUCGAGUUACCAUUCGAAGAUGUUAUAGACUACAGUAAUAUCUCAAUUUUUGUUGACACAAGCAAGGCUGUACAGCCUGGAUUCUUAACUUCGAUGCUUCGGAGAGUCAGUUCAGAGCGGAUUCUGGAGUAUCAGAGAGAAAUACAAAGGGUAAAACAUUACUUUGAGUAUGAAGAUCUGAAUGGACCAGUGAAUCAAAUAUGGCGCCAAGUUUCCAUGAAAGCACCACUUAUCAAGCUGUUGAUUAACCGGAACAAACGCCUAGUUGAAAGAGGCACUAAUGAAACUGAUUGCUCGUGCAUCUGUUCAACACCGAGCGAGAUAUCUACUGCUGGCUAG